RNAcentral lists this long non-coding RNA (298 nucleotides) under Physcomitrium patens. RNAcentral describes it as "long non-coding RNA (PPAT_LNC006452)". Lineage: Eukaryota; Viridiplantae; Streptophyta; Bryopsida; Funariales; Funariaceae. The record is from RNAcentral.
CAAUCUUUCACGUCGGGUUCACCACUUAUGUCGUAUUACGUGCUUUCCUGCUCGAGAACGUGCCGGGCGUCUGGCUGUAGAAGGUAGUAUGGAGAUUUACCGAUAGUCAAGCAGUCUAUCAGUUUUUGACUGCUGGAAUAUAAACGACUGCAACAAUGUACCGUAAAUCUAUACGGAUGCUCUUCGAUUGCUUGUCGAAGUCUUUUUUUUUUUUUUUUUUUUUUUUUUUUUUUUUUUUUUCCAGCCGAUAGGUCUCUAGACGUUACAAAGAACCCCGAACAACCCAAACUGUUAAUCU